AACGCGAAAAACCUUACCUGGGUUUGACAUACACCAGACGCCGGCAGAGAUGUCGGUUCCCUUGUGGCUGGUGUACAGGUGGUGCAUGGCUGUCGUCAGCUCGUGUCGUGAGAUGUUGGGUUAAGUCCCGCAACGAGCGCAACCCUUGUCCUGUAUUGCCAGCACGUAAUGGUGGGGACUUGCAGGAGACUGCCGGGGUCAACUCGGAGGAAGGUGGGGAUGACGUCAAGUCAUCAUGCCCCUUAUGUCCAGGGCUUCACACAUGCUACAAUGGCGCGUACAGAGGGCUGCGAGACCGUGAGGUGGAGCGAAUCCCUUAAAGCGGGUCUCAGUUCGGAUUGGGGUCUGCAACUCGACCCCAUGAAGUCGGAGUCGCUAGUAAUCGCAAAUCACCAACGCUGCGGUGAAUACGUUCCCGGGUCUUGUACACACCG
Molecule: ribosomal RNA, 434 nt
Filed under: uncultured bacterium
Lineage: Bacteria
Description: bacterial SSU rRNA
Rfam family: Bacterial small subunit ribosomal RNA
Source: RNAcentral